RNAcentral lists this ribosomal RNA (253 nucleotides) under uncultured prokaryote. Its description in RNAcentral is "partial 16S ribosomal RNA". It matches the Rfam family "Bacterial small subunit ribosomal RNA", at positions 525 to 777 of the family's 1533-position model. The record is from RNAcentral.
ACGGAGGGUGCGAGCGUUGUCCGGAAUCACUGGGCGUAAAGGGCGCGUAGGCGAUCUGAAAAGUUCUGUGUGAAAGCCCACAUGUUAACUGUGGAAGUGCACAGAAAACUGUUGGAUUUGAGUUCAGGAGAGGAAGGCAGAAUUCCCGGUGUAGCGGUGAAAUGCGUAGAGAUCGGGAGGAAUACCAGUGGCGAAGGCGGCCUUCUGGACUGACACUGACGCUGAGGCGCGAAAGCCAGGGGAGCAAACGGGA